This 440-nucleotide ribosomal RNA is filed under the name uncultured bacterium. Its description in RNAcentral is "partial 16S ribosomal RNA". It matches the Rfam family "Bacterial small subunit ribosomal RNA", at positions 338 to 795 of the family's 1533-position model. The record is from RNAcentral.
CCUACGGGAGGCAGCAGUGAGGAAUAUUGGUCAAUGGGGGAAAGCCUGAACCAGCCACGUCGCGUGAGUGAAGAAGUAACUCGUGAUUGAAAGCCUUAUCAGCAGGGGAGAAAAUGACGGUACCUGAGUCGGACGCCCCGGCUACCUACGAGCCAGCAGCCGCGGUAAUACGUAGGGGGCCAGCGUUAUCCGGAUUUACUGGGUGUAAAGGGGGCGUAAACGGGUAUGCAAGUCUGGAGGGAAAGGCGGGGGGUCAACCCCCGGACUGCGGUGGAAACUGGACGGCGGGAGUGGAGGAGAGGUAAGUGGAAUGCGUAGUGUAGCGGUGAAAUGCGUAGAUAUUAGGCGGAACACCAGUGGCGAAGGCGGCUUACCGGAGUGCAACUGACGUUGAGGCUCGAAAGCGUGGGGAGCAAACAGGAUUAGAUACCCGGGUAGUC